Molecule: ribosomal RNA, 427 nt
Filed under: uncultured bacterium
Lineage: Bacteria
Description: partial 16S ribosomal RNA
Rfam family: Bacterial small subunit ribosomal RNA
Source: RNAcentral
GUGAGGAAUCUUCCACAAUGGGCGAAAGCCUGAUGGAGCAACGCCGCGUGAAGGAUGAAGGUCUUCGGAUUGUAAACUUCUUUUAUGAGUGAAGAAUAUGACGGUAACUCAUGAAUAAGCACCGGCUAACUACGUGCCAGCAGCCGCGGUCAUACGUAGGGUGCAAGCAUUAUCCGGAGUGACUGGGCGUAAAGAGUUGCGUAGGCGGUUAUGUAAGCGAAUAGUGAAACCUGGUGGCUCAACCACACAGACUAUUAUUCGAACUGCAUAACUCGAGAAUGGUAGAGGUAACUGGAAUUUCUUGUGUAGGAGUGAAAUCCGUAGAUAUAAGAAGGAACGCCAAUGGCGUAGGCAGGUUACUGGGCCAUUUCUGACGCUAAGGCACGAAAGCGUGGGGAGCGAACCGGAUUAGAAACCCGAGUAGUCC